UCCUUCGUAGUGUAGGGGUUAUCAUUCUCGCCUUUCACGCGAGCGACCCGGGUUCGAUUCCCGGCGUGGGAA
RNAcentral lists this transfer RNA (72 nucleotides) under Taphrina deformans PYCC 5710. Its description in RNAcentral is "tRNA-Glu (TTC) (tRNA-Glu-TTC-1-1, tRNA-Glu-TTC-1-2)". It matches the Rfam family "tRNA". From Rfam's summary of the family: Transfer RNA (tRNA) molecules are approximately 80 nucleotides in length. Their secondary structure includes four short double-helical elements and three loops (D, anti-codon, and T loops). Lineage: Eukaryota; Fungi; Ascomycota; Taphrinomycetes; Taphrinales; Taphrinaceae. The record is from RNAcentral.